This 74-nucleotide transfer RNA is filed under the name Caldilineaceae bacterium SB0661_bin_32. RNAcentral describes it as "tRNA-Arg". It matches the Rfam family "tRNA". From Rfam's summary of the family: Transfer RNA (tRNA) molecules are approximately 80 nucleotides in length. Their secondary structure includes four short double-helical elements and three loops (D, anti-codon, and T loops). The record is from RNAcentral. RNAcentral also lists the same sequence under 7 other names. Lineage: Bacteria; Bacillati; Chloroflexota; Caldilineae; Caldilineales; Caldilineaceae.
GCGCCAGUAGCUCAGUGGAUUAGAGCGUCGCCCUGCGGAGGCGAAGGUCGCAGGUUCGAGUCCUGCCUGGCGCG